GAAAAAGUCAUAGAAGUUAUGAGGUUGGCUUGAAACCAGUUUUAGGGGGUUUGAUUCCUUCCUUUUUCA
This is a non-coding RNA of Papio anubis (olive baboon), 69 nucleotides long. Lineage: Eukaryota; Metazoa; Chordata; Mammalia; Primates; Cercopithecidae. The record is from Rfam.